RNAcentral lists this ribosomal RNA (450 nucleotides) under uncultured bacterium. Its description in RNAcentral is "partial 16S ribosomal RNA". It matches the Rfam family "Bacterial small subunit ribosomal RNA", at positions 354 to 796 of the family's 1533-position model. The record is from RNAcentral.
GUGGGGAAUAUUCCGCAAUGGACGAAAGUCUGACGGAGCAACGCCGCGUGAGUGAUGAAGGUUUUCGGACUGUAAAGCUCUGUUGUUUAGGACGAAAGUGCCUGUUGCAAAUAGUUACAGGUAUUGACGGUACUGAACGAGGAAGCCACGGCUAACUACGUGCCAGCAGCCGCGGUAAUACGUAGGUGGCAAGCGUUGUCCGGAAUUAUUGGGCGUAAAGCGCGCGCAGGCGGGAAUCUAAGUCUGUUGUGAAAAUGCGGGGCUCAACCCCGUAUUGCGAUGGAAACUGGGUUUCUUGAGUGCAGGAGAGGAAAGGGGAAUUCCCAGUGUAGCGGUGAAAUGCGUAGAUAUUGGGAGGAACACCAGUGGCGAAGGCGCCUUUCUGGACUGUGUCUGACGCUGAGAUGCGAAAGCCAGGGUAGUGAACGGGAUUAGAAACCCGAGUAGUCC